AGAGUUUGAUCUUGGCUCAGAAUGAACGCUGGCGGUAGGCUUAAUACAUGCAAGUCGGAUGGAAACGAUAGAAAAAUUUGUUUUUCUAGGCGUCGAGUGGCGGACGGGUGAGUAACGCGUGGGAAUCUACCCUAUAGUUGGGGAUAACAUAUGGAAAUGUAUGCUAAUACCGAAUAUGCUCUAUGGAGUAAAGGUGCCUUCUUUUUGGAAGGUAUCGCUAUAGGAUGAGCCCGCGUGAGAUUAGCUAGUUGGUGAGGUAAUGGCUCACCAAGGCGACGAUCUCUAGUUGGUUUGAGAGGAUGAUCAGCCACAUUGGGAUUGAGACAUGGCCCAGACUCCUAUGGGAGGCAGUAGUUGGGAAUAUUGCAUAAUGAGCGAAAGCUUGAUGCAGCCAUACCGCGUGUGUGAAGAAGGCCCGAGGGUUGUAAAGCACUUUUAAUUGUGAGGAAGGUUCAGUAGUUAAUAUUUGCUGUUCUUGAUGUUAACUUUAGAAGAAGCACCGGUUAAUUCUGUGUUAGCAGUUGUGGUAAUACAGAGGGUGCAAGCGUUAUUCGGAAUUACUGGGCGUAAAGCGCGCGUAGGCGGAUUAUUAAGUCAGUUGUGAAAGUCUUGGGUUUAACCUGGGAAUUGCAUCUGAUACUGGUAGUCUAGAGUUUAAGAGAGGGAAGGGGAAUUCCGGUGUAGCAGUGAAAUGCGUAGAUAUCUGGAGGAAUAUUAGUGGUGAAGGUGACUUCCUGGCUUAAAAUUGACGCUGAGGUGCGAAAGCGUGGGUAGUGAAUGGGAUUAGAUAUCCCGGUAGUCCACGCCGUAAAUGAUGUCAACUAGUUGUUGGUUUUAUUAAAAAGAUUAGUAAUGAAGUUAAUGUGAUAAGUUGACCGCCUGGGGAGUACGGUCGUAAGAUUAAAACUCAAAGGAAUUGACGGGGGCCCGCACAAGUGGUGGAGCAUGUGGUUUAAUUUGAUGCAAUGUGAAGAACCUUACCAUCCCUUGAUAUACCAAGAAGUUACUAGAGAUAGUUUCGUGCCUUCGGGAGCUUGGAUAUAGGUGCUGUAUGGCUGUCGUCAGCUCGUGUUGUGAGAUGUUGGGUUAAGUCUCGCAACGAGCGUAACCCUUAUUAUUAGUUGUUAUCAUUUAGUUGAGAACUCUAAUGAGACUGCCGGUGAUAAACCGGAGGAAGGCGGGGACGACGUCAAGUCAUCAUGGCCCUUAUGGGAUGGGCUACACACGUGCUACAAUGGGGGGUAUAAAGAGUAGUUAAUUGGUAAUAGUGUGUGAAUCUCAAAAAACCCUUCGUAGUCCGGAUUGGAGUCUGUAAUUUGACUCCAUGAAGUCGGAAUCGUUAGUAAUCGCGAAUUAGAAUGUUGCGGUGAAUACGUUCCCGGGCCUUGUAUAUAUUGCCCGUCAUACUAUGGGAGUGGAUUGUAAAAGAAGUAGGUAGG
This 1439-nucleotide ribosomal RNA is filed under the name metagenome. Its description in RNAcentral is "bacterial SSU rRNA". It matches the Rfam family "Bacterial small subunit ribosomal RNA". The record is from RNAcentral.